Molecule: ribosomal RNA, 382 nt
Filed under: Sugiyamaella sp. BG090815.8.10.1.2.15
Lineage: Eukaryota; Fungi; Ascomycota; Dipodascomycetes; Dipodascales; Trichomonascaceae
Description: eukaryotic LSU rRNA
Rfam family: Eukaryotic large subunit ribosomal RNA
Source: RNAcentral
GACGCAAGUCCGAGUUGUAAUUUGAAGAAGGUAAUUUUUGGGGAGAUGUGAACAAAAGUUCCUUGGAACAGGACGUCAUAGAGGGUGAGAAUCCCGUUUUGUUUACCUCUCUCUCCUUGUAAAAUGCUUUCGAAGAGUCGAGUUGUUUGGGAAUGCAGCUCUAAGUGGGUGGUAAAUUCCAUCUAAAGCUAAAUAUUGGCGAGAGACCGAUAGCGAACAAGUACAGUGAUGGAAAGAUGAAAAGAACUUUGAAAAGAGAGUGAAAAAGUACGUGAAAUUGUUGAAAGGGAAGGGUUUUAAGGGAGACUUGGGAGGUAACGAACAAUUUUCUUUCGGGAAGGUGCACUCGUUGCUUUCUAGGCCAAUAUGGAUUUGAAGAGUG